CAGUUCGGAUCGGAGUCUGCAACCCGACUCCGUGAAGCUGGAUUCGCUAGUAAUCGCGCAUCAGCCAUGGCGCGGUGAAUACGUUCCCGGGCCUUGUACACACCGCCCGUCAAGCCAUGGGAGCCGGGAGCGCUUGAAGUGCGUCGCCGCGAGGCGCGCCCUAGAGCGAGACCGGUGACUGGGGCUAAGUCGUAACAAGGUAAC
RNAcentral lists this ribosomal RNA (204 nucleotides) under uncultured bacterium. RNAcentral's name for it is "partial 16S ribosomal RNA". It matches the Rfam family "Bacterial small subunit ribosomal RNA", at positions 1289 to 1500 of the family's 1533-position model. The record is from RNAcentral.